CUGUGCUCACCUUGCCUUUGAUGAUUAAGUGCUAGCACCUGGCCCUUGCCACCUCAGAAUACAGUUAUUUCCAUUACAUGUACCUUUUUCAGUUGAGUGACUGAGGUUCCCACUGUAAAGUCCAGCUUAAACAGAAGAGUAACUACGGAGCUCUUCAGGGAUGCUGGGGCUCCCCUAACAAAUCUGUUUCUCAAUGUGUUCAUGAGAGGUGUGUCUUCUGGAUUCUUCCAGUGUGGGCAAAGAACAUGGACUCACAGACACUGGAUGGCUUGCACAAUGUCUUGAAGCCCCAAAGACUAGGUUGAAAUGCACAUGCAUUUUCACAAUACCACGCUUCCUCAUCUCUGUAAAGCUUACAUUUUAAUCCUCAUACAAGCUUUUGACUGAAAGGGCCUAUAAGAAAGGACAUCCCAGUGGAAGUCAGCACAUGUUAUGCAUAGAUAUUGGCUUGUAACAACAUUCCCCAUUAAAAGAAACCAGAGCUCCUGGGAGAAGUGGCUGAUAUUACAAUAGCAGAAGAAAUAUACAAGUUGGGCCUGAGUACUUUGUAGUGCCAGAAGGUUAAGAAGGACUAAAAGACCCCACAAUUAUGAAGGUUCUAUGCAAGCCCAAGGAACAGAAUGCUUUUACGUGUCUGAGUAACAAGAGGAUUUUAUACUUGUGUGACUUCACACACAUUGUGGUGUUUGUCCUGCAUUGAAUCAAAGUGAA
RNAcentral lists this long non-coding RNA (711 nucleotides) under Homo sapiens (human). RNAcentral's name for it is "HSALNT0330592". The record is from RNAcentral. Lineage: Eukaryota; Metazoa; Chordata; Mammalia; Primates; Hominidae.